RNAcentral lists this unclassified non-coding RNA (386 nucleotides) under Hevea brasiliensis (rubber tree). Lineage: Eukaryota; Viridiplantae; Streptophyta; Magnoliopsida; Malpighiales; Euphorbiaceae. The record is from RNAcentral.
UGCCCACUCUCCCUUUAAAGGACAACACACAAAAGCAAAGAAAUUUGAAUGGGUCUGGUCAAGGUGGUUCCUUUGUUCUAAAAUUCUCUCUGUUUUUCCUGUUUCUCAAGAGGAAGAAAGGCAAGAACUUUGGUGGGUUAUUUCUCUCUGAUCUGGAUCAAAUGGAGGGUGAAUCUGAUUCGUAUAGGGAAGUGAAGCCCAAAGCUGGGGAGGACCAACUGGUUCCUGUUAAUAAGAGUUCCUUGGCUGCUACUAAUGGCUAUGAUGAGAACUUGGGAUCCUGCAAACAAGGGGUUCUUCUCCAGACCAACAGCUCCAGGAAUGCUUCAAUGCCAACAUCUGGAACAAAUGCUACCAUCCCUACUUCAGAUCAGCUUACCAUCUUC